CUCUGUCAUAAUCUGGAAUGAUGAUAUCAAUCAAGUGAAGCAGCUAUCACAGGGUCUGGAACAUAGUACAUCCCAGCCUUCUUGCACAUAGAAACACUACACAGCACUUCAGCUGUAUGUUUGGGGGCCAUUUUAAACAGCAAAAUCAUCAACAGGAAGCAGAAAAUUGUAAAAAUUGUGGCACUAAAUAGACCAUGUAAAGGACACAUGUUUGCAAUAAGAAAGCUGAAACAAGAAGGGGGAGUGUCACCUUAUUUGAUCCAGCUAGAAACUCAGGUGCUGGUAUUCCAGCAACACUCAGGCGGCUGCUCCAGGAGGCUGCAGAGGGGUCCUUUUUAGCCGUCAACAAAACUGGCUAUGGUCACGCCCAUUGGGAAACUCAUUGCUGCCUUCAAGGUUCUGUCAAUAGAAGAUACUAAAGAAAGAAAGCCAGGAGAAGAAAAGGGACUUCUUUCUUCAAGGUCUAAGCUGUUCUAAUAGCAUUAUUCUGGGAAUGGCAUCUUCCACUCCUCCUAGUACAAAGAACCUGCUUCCUCAUACCCCGUCAAGGAACUGCAGCAUCCAGGUGAUGGCCACAGUGGCAGAACCUAGGAAGCCAAGAAGAAACCAGAGAAUGGAGACACAUGGCAGCAAUGGCAAGUCAUCAGACCCAGGAUUUCCCAAAGAACACUGGUCCAGGAAGAUGCUCUGUGAAAAAGUGUUCCCUGGUCGGAGAAAUUUGUGAAACACUUUGCAUAAUACUUAAAAGAAUGUAUGGCACAUCAAAGAUCUUAUAACAGUCUCCGCAGGAAGCAGCUGCAGUCAUUAGCCAUAGGACAGACUAAACACACAAUCUGCAUGGAAGGAGGCCUGGAUCAGCUUGGUCUUUCAGAUCUCUAAUCUCAGGCACAGGAAAGCACCAUCAACAGCACCCUUUGUAUAUAUACAUAAAGGUAACAUAUUUUAUCAUUUAAAGGGAUUUGAGAAAUUGAAGAGGCCCAACUCUUUUUCUGCCUUCUUUGGUUUGAGGCUUAGAUUGCUUAAGGGGCUUGCCCAGGAUCACAUAUCUUGUAAGAGACAGAGCAAGGAUUCAAAGCCAGUGCUGGCUUCUGUGUCUCCAUUCUUUCCAUUCUCCUCCAGUGGCUCUUUUGGGAAGCUGAGGGAGGAACAGCAGCAGAAUUGGGUGGCACCUGCCCAUGCCCAUCAUGC
This 1188-nucleotide long non-coding RNA is filed under the name Homo sapiens (human). RNAcentral's name for it is "HSALNT0394505". Lineage: Eukaryota; Metazoa; Chordata; Mammalia; Primates; Hominidae. The record is from RNAcentral.